Long non-coding RNA from Homo sapiens (human), 1881 nucleotides. RefSeq lists it as uncharacterized. The record is from RefSeq and is a predicted model, not a curated record. Lineage: Eukaryota; Metazoa; Chordata; Mammalia; Primates; Hominidae. The transcript has 3 exons.
CCACUCCGCCAUUUUCCUCCGGAAGUGUGGCACCCAGAGGCGGUACUGUAGCUGGGCCGGCUUGGGGCUUGGUUCUAUGUCCCUGUGGGUCGGUGCGAGGGCCAGGAGGAACCCGUGAGCCUCAGGGGAUCCCAGGGGGCCGGACCAGUGUUCCCUAGUUGUGGGAGCAGACGCGUGGGCGCAUCACGGGAGGGCAGGGCCUGAAGAGCAGGUGCGGGCUGCGGACCCUGGCAGGGGCUGGGAGGACAGGCGUGGGGUCCCAGCAGUGACGCGGGUUCUAGAGGCACAGGAGCGGGUAGGAGAGGCCGGUGGCCCUGGGCCCGGAGUCUGCAGGCCGCGCUCCUGUCCUGCCGCUGAGGGACCCGGUUACCAACCCGCAUGAUGCUCAGUUUGCCCAUCUGUCCCAGUGCUAACACACAGUUCUCGGGAGACGUUCCCCAUUCCCAGAGGAGUAGUGUGAAACGCAUGCGCCUCUAGUCUUAAACUUGACGUUUGUAUUAGUUUGGUUUCCUGGUGUCUCUUUAGCAAGUGAAGUUUCUGGUUCCCUCCUUCACUGUGUGACCUGCCUAGUCCUCCUGGGUCGCAUUUACAGAAGUUUAUACGAGACCUAGUUUCCAGGGAAGAACUCACUGAUUCCGCGAGGGAGAUGGCGUAAUAGAUGAUGGUCGUCAGCCUUAAGGGUACUUCAGUCUUAACUGUGUGUUACAAAGUUUGAAAGGGAGGGUUCCCUAUGAAUAAGAAGCACACUUGAAAGAACAGCCGUCUGGUCUAACCUCUCACUGGUGCUUCAGAGGAGGAAAAAAGGUCACAGCUAUGUUUCCAGUGUCCUCUGGGUGUUUCCAAGAGCAACAAGAAACGAAUAAAUCUCUGACGGAGAUUCACUCUUGUUGCCCAGGCUGGAGUGCAAUGGCACAAUUUCGGCUCUCCACAAUCUCUGCCUCCCAGAUUCAAGCUAUUCUCCUGCCUCUGUCUCCCAAGGAGCUGGGAUUACAGGUAAGUGCCACCAUGCCCUGCUAAUUAUGUACUUUUAGUAGAGAUGGGGGUUUCUCCAUGCUGGUCAGGUUGGUCUCAAACUCCUGACCCCAGGUGAUCUGCCCGUCUUGGCCUCUCAAAGUGCUGGGAUUACAGGUGUGAGCCACUGUGUCCGGCCCUUAAAUUCUAUUUCUUAAAAAGAGUCCGUUCAAGAUUGAUGUUAUAGAUACCCCUCAACUUACAAUUGUUUUAUGUCUUAAUGAACUCAUCCUAAAUUGAAAAUAUUGUAAGUCUAAAACGCAUUUAAUAUAUUUAACCUACUGAAUAUCAUGACUUAGCCUCGCCUACCUUAAACUUGCUCAGAACACUUACAUUAUCCUACGAUUGGGCAAAAUCAUCUACCACAAGGCCCAUUUUAAAAUAUUGAGUUUCUCAUGAAAUUUAUUGAAAACUAUACUGAUAGUGAAAAACUGGUCAUAUUGAUGCUCAUCGUUAACGUACACAGAUGAAAGCACCAUUAUCAAGUAAGAAGAGCACAAGUCAAACCACUGUAAGUUGAGGACUCUCUGUACUUUCUUAAAUGUUUGAUAGAAUUCACCUGAGAAAGCAUGUAGCCUGUAAUUAUAGAAAUCUUUUUAAAUUAAAAAAAUUCUUCAAUACAUAGAGAAGCUAUUACUUUUUCUAUUUCAUUUUGCAUUAGUUUUAAGAAUUAGAUUUACAAAUAAUUUCCCAUGUUAUUUUAAUUGUCAAAUGUAUUGGUCUAAAGUUUUCAUAAUUAUAUUGAUGUCUGUAGUUUCUGUAGUUACAUCCUCUAUUUAAUUCCCAUUAUCUACAUUAUGUAGCUUCUCUAAUUUUUUUCGAGAUAAAUCUUGCUAGCCAUUGUUUAUUAAAAAAUUUUUUUUCAAAGAA